GCUGGAAUGGCCGAGUCGUUAAGGCGAGUGAUUUGAACUUUCAAACUCAUCACUUGGUGUUUCACCGCGUAGGUUCAAAUCCUGCUUCCAGCG
Crassisporium funariophilum is the source of this 93-nucleotide non-coding RNA. The record is from the annotation of a GenBank genome assembly. Lineage: Eukaryota; Fungi; Basidiomycota; Agaricomycetes; Agaricales; Crassisporiaceae.